This 199-nucleotide ribosomal RNA is filed under the name uncultured bacterium. RNAcentral's name for it is "partial 16S ribosomal RNA". It matches the Rfam family "Bacterial small subunit ribosomal RNA", at positions 328 to 539 of the family's 1533-position model. The record is from RNAcentral.
ACGCUCGACACCUACGGGAGGCAGCAGUGGGGAAUAUUGCACAAUGGGGGAAACCCUGAUGCAGCGACGCCGCGUGAAGGAAGAAGUAUCUCGGUAUGUAAACUUCUAUCAGCAGGGAAGAAAAUGACGGUACCUGACUAAGAAGCCCCGGCUAACUACGUGCCAACAGCCGNGGUAAUCUGAGGCGGGCUGGCAAGGC